This 240-nucleotide long non-coding RNA is filed under the name Gossypium barbadense (sea-island cotton). RNAcentral's name for it is "long non-coding RNA (GBAR_LNC013394)". The record is from RNAcentral. Lineage: Eukaryota; Viridiplantae; Streptophyta; Magnoliopsida; Malvales; Malvaceae.
UAAAAUGCCAUUUCAUCGGUCUUGAACAAUGGCAUGAAUUAGCACAGCAGGACUACCAAAAUAUUGCGUAAACAAACCGUGAAGCUCAAAUUUGAGAUGUUGAAGUUCAGAUCUAAUUUCUCCUGAAAGUCAUCCUUAAAUCCCUAUAGUCGAUUUUCCAGUUUUGCGUCAAACUUAACAUCCAACUGGAGAGCUCUUCCUAAAUCUUUUCCACCUUUUGUUGCAACACAUGAACCUCCU